RNAcentral lists this ribosomal RNA (498 nucleotides) under uncultured bacterium. RNAcentral describes it as "partial 16S ribosomal RNA". It matches the Rfam family "Bacterial small subunit ribosomal RNA", at positions 28 to 507 of the family's 1533-position model. The record is from RNAcentral.
GACGAACGCUGGCGGCGUGCCUAAUACAUGCAAGUCGAACGAGAGCGACCGGUGCUUGCACUGGUCAAUCUAGUGGCGAACGGGUGAGUAACACGUGGGUAACCUGCUCAUCAGAGGGGGAUAACAUCCGGAAACGGAUGCUAAAACCGCAUAGGUCUUCGAGCCGCAUGGCUUGAAGAGGAAAAGAGGCGCAAGCUUCUGCUGAUGGAUGGACCCGCGGUGCAUUAGCUAGUUGGUGAGGGAACGGCUCACCAAGGCCGUGAUGCAUAGCCGACCUGAGAGGGUGAUCGGCCACAUUGGGACUGAGACACGGCCCAGACUCCUACGGGAGGCAGCAGUAGGGAAUCUUCCGCAAUGGACGCAAGUCUGACGGAGCAACGCCGCGUGAGUGAAGAAGGUUUUCGGAUCGUAAAACUCUGUUGUUAGAGAAGAACAAGUGCUAGAGUAACUGUUAGCGCCUUGACGGUAUCUAACCAGAAAGCCACGGCUAACUACGUG